UACGGGGGGAGCAAGCGUUGUUCGGAUUUACUGGGCGUAAAGCGCACGUAGGCGGUCAGGCAAGUCGGGUGUGAAAGCCCUGGGCUCAACCUGGGAAUUGCAUUCGAAACUAUCUGACUCGAGUAUGGGAGAGGGAGGCGGAAUUUCCGGUGUAGCGGUGAAAUGCGUAGAUAUCGGAAGGAACACCAGUGGCGAAGGCGGCUUUCUGGA
Molecule: ribosomal RNA, 210 nt
Filed under: uncultured prokaryote
Description: partial 16S ribosomal RNA
Rfam family: Bacterial small subunit ribosomal RNA
Source: RNAcentral